Molecule: long non-coding RNA, 694 nt
Filed under: Homo sapiens (human)
Lineage: Eukaryota; Metazoa; Chordata; Mammalia; Primates; Hominidae
Description: HSALNT0100175
Source: RNAcentral
UGACCCCAUGCCCUGGAUUACCGUAGCUCUAGGCUGUUGGAGCAGGAGAAUCGAGCUCAGUCUUCUCACAGCCUAUGGAGGUGCUGACUCCCUGUUUGGUGGAGAGCGAUGGGCAUGUGUGUGUGGGUGGAGGGGGAGAUAAGGAGAAGGUUCUAUUUCCAGCAAGAACAAGAUGUUUCUUCCACCAGAAUUAGCACAAGACAGCCCGAGCCCAGCCAAGGCUGGAAACUUCAGCGAACAAAGAUUUUAAUGAGCAGAAAGCUGAAGACCUGAACUGAUCUUAAAACUUCUACUGUGGUGCCCUUCAAACCAUUCUCCACACUUCAGCAAGAAGGAUCCUAUAAAAACCCAAAUGUUAUCCCCAUAUCCUUACUCUACUUAAAACUUCACUUUUCUCAGAACAUAGCCCCAUCAUGAAGCAACGCAUGACUCUGUGUGUGUGUGUGUGUGUAGAUAAAUGAAGCAAAAGUAUGAUUUGAUUUGAAUGAUUAGGAAAAGUUGCACCAUUUUCAGUGUCUUUAAUUUUUCUUUCUCCUUUGACGCUUGAGGCCUUAAGGAGAACAUCUUUUCUAAUUGUUUCUGACGUACUAUAUGAUGUUUAUAAUAGUCUCUUAUUAAUUAAAUGCAGGUCUCAGCCGUAUACGCGGCUCACCACGACUGAGUCUGCACACUGGAAAGCGCUGAGCACAGGGUC